Molecule: non-coding RNA, 1475 nt
Organism: Microcebus murinus (gray mouse lemur)
Lineage: Eukaryota; Metazoa; Chordata; Mammalia; Primates; Cheirogaleidae
Source: RefSeq, a predicted model, not a curated record
CUCAGGAGUUCGAGACCAGCCUGAGCAAGAGCAAGACCCCAUCUCUAUUAAAAAAAAAAUGAAAAUAAAACCAAUGAGACAAUAACUACACACAUAUGGAAAGGGCUGAAAAAAAAAAGACGACUGGCCAUAUGAAGUGUUGGCAGGUAUGUAGUGGAACUGAAACUCUCAUGUAUAUAACAGGAAACAACCAUUUGGAUUAAAGUUUGGAAAGUCCUAAAAUAUUAAACAUUCAUUCAAUUCAAGCAUUUAUAGCAGCUUUAUUUGUAAUAUACAAAAUGUAUAAAUAACACAAAUGUCCCUAAACAACUGAUGAUGAAUAGCUGACUUAACUACAGGACGGAAUGCUACUCAUCAAUAAAAAUAACUACUCAGAUAAGCAUCACUGUUGAAUCUCAUCUUAAAAUAAUUAUAUAGCAUGAGAAAAACCAGUUUUUUAAAAAAUAUAUACAAACUUAAAAUUCUGGAAAAUGCAAACUAAUGUAAAGGAAAUCAAUGAUGUUUGGACAUCUGGGAAAGGCAGGGAGAGAGAUAAUAAAAUGGCACAAGGUAAAUAUAUGGAUGACAGAUUAAUUUUCAUGAUUAUUAUGAUGGUUUCAUAGCUUUACCAAAUUGUACCCUUUGGAUAAGUACACUUAGUUGCAUAUUAAUUAUAUAAAUUAUAUCUUUCAUAAAGCUUUACAAAGUGGCUCAAAAUUAAGAAUGUAAUGCCCCGUUUGUUUUUUUGGAAAGUCAGGUUGGUGACCUCACAUAGACUGCACCAACUUUCUCUUCAUGCCCUGGAAGAGGCAACCUUAUCUUGGUGGCAGCAAAUACUGUGUGAAUCUGCUGGUGCUGAACAAGAAUGUUCUUGAAGAUACAUUCUGCUCAGAGGUUAUCAUCUCAUUCUCUGCUCCAUGGCAAUAACCUGAAAUCAGAGAAGUGCUGAUGAAAUGUGUGUUGACUUUGGUGGGAGGGGGGAAAAAUCUAUCACAAAAAUGUGUGAGAUACAAGUAAUUCGUCUGUGGGACUGUAUGGAGAACAAGAGAACCAGGGGAAGAUUGAAGAAUAUAGGCUGCUUUGAAGUACUGAGCCUUUGAAGAUUAUAGAAUAGGAGAGACCUCACCAGACAAAGAACACAAGGAUGGGUACAGUAUGUGAGAAGCAGGGUCUCCAACUCACUCUCUGCCAAAAGCCUUCAGCAGGACCUUGUUUGCAUGGCGUGUGUGCGCCAUGCAGGUUGCUGGUGUCCAGUCCCAUGAAAAUCCAACUGGAACUAAAUAGCUGGUGAUCAAGGAGUAUUUGAGGAUGUGUGCACACCUCACAACAUUGAAUCAAACUGAAGAACACUAUAGAGUGAGUGGUGGAGAGGAACAAGUGAUGUGUAGAGGUCACAAGGGUGGAGGAGCCAGAAGCUGGAAGUGACAGAUGGUAAAAUAAGUUGGCAAAGCAUUAAGUAUAGGGGAGUGGAAAUAAAAAUGAGUUACGGCCAGUGA